CAGCAGCCACGGUAAUACGUAGGUGGCAAGCGUUGUCCGGAAUUAUUGGGCGUAAAGGGCUCGCAGGCGGUUUCUUAAGUCUGAUGUGAAAGCCCCCGGCUCAACCGGGGAGGGUCAUUGGAAACUGGGAAACUUGAGUGCAGAAGAGGAGAGUGGAAUUCCACGUGUAGCGGUGAAAUGCGUGGAGAUGUGGAGGAGCACCAGUGGCGAAGGCGACUCUCUGGUCUGUAACUGACGCUGAGGAGCGAAAGCGUGGGGAGCGAACAGGAUUAGAUACCCCUGUAGUCCCUGUCUCUUAUAC
This 301-nucleotide ribosomal RNA is filed under the name uncultured bacterium. RNAcentral describes it as "partial 16S ribosomal RNA". It matches the Rfam family "Bacterial small subunit ribosomal RNA", at positions 509 to 807 of the family's 1533-position model. The record is from RNAcentral.